Mycena rebaudengoi is the source of this 89-nucleotide non-coding RNA. Lineage: Eukaryota; Fungi; Basidiomycota; Agaricomycetes; Agaricales; Mycenaceae. The record is from the annotation of a GenBank genome assembly.
GACCCAGUGGUGCAACGGACAUCAUAUCUGCAUAUUGUAACAUGUCUUAAUUUCCGCAGGAGAUCCUCGUUCGACUCGGGGCUGGGUCA